RNAcentral lists this ribosomal RNA (841 nucleotides) under uncultured Bacillota bacterium. Its description in RNAcentral is "bacterial SSU rRNA". It matches the Rfam family "Bacterial small subunit ribosomal RNA", at positions 58 to 901 of the family's 1533-position model. Lineage: Bacteria; Bacillati; Bacillota. The record is from RNAcentral.
CAAGUCGAGUGCGCGUCCGUAGCAAUACGGAUGGCGCACGGCGCACGGGUGCGUAACACGUGGGCAAUCUGCCCUCGGAUGGGGGAUAACCCCGCGAAAGCGGGGCUAAUACCGCAUGACAUUCCGGAGACCUCGGUCUUUGGAUUCAAAGGUCGCAAGAUCGUCUGAGGAGGAGCCCGCGCCCGAUUAGCUAGUUGGUGAGGUAACGGCUCACCAAGGCUUUGAUCGGUAGCCGGUCUGAGAGGAUGGCCGGCCACACUGGAACUGAGACACGGCCCAGACUCCUACGGGAGGCAGCAGUGGGGAAUAUUGCGCAAUGGGCGAAAGCCUGACGCAGCGACGCCGCGUGGGGGAUGAAGCUUCUCGGAGUGUAAACCCCUUUCGACCCGGACGAAUGACCCGCAAGGGUUUGACGGUACGGGUAUAAGAAGCCCCGGCUAACUACGUGCCAGCAGCCGCGGUAAUACGUAGGGGGCCAGCGUUGCUCGGAAUUACUGGGCGUAAAGGGUUCGUAGGCGGUGCGGCAAGUUGGGAGUGAAAUCUCUGGGCUUAACCCAGAGGCUGCUUUCAAAACUGCCGUGCUCGAGUGCGAGAGAGGUCAGUGGAAUUGCAGGUGUAGCGGUGAAAUGCGUAGAUAUCUGCAGGAACACCCGUGGCGAAGGCGGCUGACUGGAUCGCAACUGACGCUGAGGAACGAAAGCUAGGGGAGCAAACAGGAUUAGAUACCCUGGUAGUCCUAGCCCUAAACCAUCAGGACUUGGGGUGGCCCGCGUAGGCGGGUCGUCCCGUAGCUAACGCGUUAAGUCCUGCGCCUGGGGAGUACGGUCGCAAGACUGAAACU